RNAcentral lists this ribosomal RNA (306 nucleotides) under Triticum aestivum (bread wheat). RNAcentral describes it as "partial small subunit ribosomal RNA". The record is from RNAcentral. Lineage: Eukaryota; Viridiplantae; Streptophyta; Magnoliopsida; Poales; Poaceae.
AUGUGCUGGCCUCCGCCGUCUCUAUGGCCAGAGCCUCAACCCGUUGUACCUUGCCCCUUUUGCCACGGAGGCGCCGAGAGCCGCCAGCGUCAGGCCGGCCCUGCAAUUGCCAUCGAGUCACCGCCGCGAACUCGCCGUGAGUCACCAAGAUGCCUCCGCUGGCACUGUCAGGCCGCCUUGCCUCACCACGGCCUCUAUGGCCCUGCGCUAAGUCGCCGGUCUUUGUUGUUCAAGCCGGGAUUCGUUCCUCUGCUCCGGGUCAACUCCACUCCGAACCGCCCCUACCGCUACGUCACUCGCAUCUGA